RNAcentral lists this ribosomal RNA (465 nucleotides) under Vreelandella stevensii. Its description in RNAcentral is "partial 16S ribosomal RNA". It matches the Rfam family "Bacterial small subunit ribosomal RNA", at positions 338 to 795 of the family's 1533-position model. Lineage: Bacteria; Pseudomonadati; Pseudomonadota; Gammaproteobacteria; Oceanospirillales; Halomonadaceae. The record is from RNAcentral.
CCUACGGGAGGCUGCAGUGGGGAAUAUUGGACAAUGGGGGGAACCCUGAUCCAGCCAUGCCGCGUGUGUGAAGAAGGCCCUCGGGUUGUAAAGCACUUUCAGUGAGGAAGAACGCCUGGUGGUUAAUACACAUCAGGAAAGACAUCACUCACAGAAGAAGCACCGGCUAACUCCGUGCCAGCAGCCGCGGUAAUACGGAGGGUGCGAGCGUUAAUCGGAAUUACUGGGCGUAAAGCGCGCGUAGGUGGCUUGAUAAGCCGGUUGUGAAAGCCCCGGGCUCAACCUGGGAACGGCAUCCGGAACUGUCAAGCUAGAGUGAAGGAGAGGAAGGUAGAAUUCCCGGUGUAGCGGUGAAAUGCGUAGAGAUCGGGAGGAACACCAGUGGCGAAGGCGGCCUUCUGGACUGAAACUGACGCUGAGGUGCGAAAGCGUGGGUAGCAAACAGGAUUAGAUACCCGGGUAGUC